RNAcentral lists this non-coding RNA (45 nucleotides) under Schistosoma mansoni. The record is from RNAcentral. Lineage: Eukaryota; Metazoa; Platyhelminthes; Trematoda; Strigeidida; Schistosomatidae.
AUCCAGAUGAUGAGUCCCAAAUAGGACUAAACGCGCAUCAUGGAU